This 394-nucleotide ribosomal RNA is filed under the name Glaciecola sp. 'Disko Bay 4'. RNAcentral describes it as "bacterial SSU rRNA". It matches the Rfam family "Bacterial small subunit ribosomal RNA", at positions 74 to 468 of the family's 1533-position model. Lineage: Bacteria; Pseudomonadati; Pseudomonadota; Gammaproteobacteria; Alteromonadales; Alteromonadaceae. The record is from RNAcentral.
UCUAGCUUGCCUAGAUGAUGUCGAGUGGCGGACGGGUGAGUAAUACUUAGGAACAUGCCUUUGGGUGGGGGAUAACUAUUGGAAACGAUAGCUAAUACCGCAUAACGUCUACGGACCAAAGGGGGGAGCUUGCUCCUCCCGCCCAGAGAGUGGCCUAAGCGAGAUUAGCUUGUUGGUGAGGUAAAGGCUCACCAAGGCGACGAUCUCUAGCUGUUCUGAGAGGAAGAUCAGCCACACUGGGACUGAGACACGGCCCAGACUCCUACGGGAGGCAGCAGUGGGGAAUAUUGCACAAUGGAGGAAACUCUGAUGCAGCCAUGCCGCGUGUGUGAAGAAGGCCUUCGGGUUGUAAAGCACUUUCAGUUGUGAGGAAAGCUUGUUGGUUAAUACCCAU